Molecule: non-coding RNA, 1014 nt
Organism: Neurospora crassa OR74A
Lineage: Eukaryota; Fungi; Ascomycota; Sordariomycetes; Sordariales; Sordariaceae
Source: RefSeq, a predicted model, not a curated record
GGUUUUUCUCGUUAUGAACUUUUCCUCUCAUCACGCAACUGCAGAGGACUCGGCGGACGGACGGACGGACGAACGAACAAUGACACCCACGAAGAGUGAUUUUUGGUCCCGCUCGGCUGGCCUGGCUUGGGAUGGACUGAACAACAUCUUUACGCAUACUACAUACCCCUUACUACGUACUACUUAAUAACCUGGGACUGGAGAGAGUUGAGGACAGAUCAGGAAGCGGUGGGCAAUACACAGGCCCAACUUUGGUUUCGAGACCUGGUGUAUGAUGGCAGAUGAUAUCGGGCAAAUGUGUUGAAAGGGGGAUUAAGGAGGCAAUGCGUUGAAGGGUUGAGAAAGCUCCCGCACAAUGCAAAGAAAGAAGCGGAGGAUGCGAAAUCCUGGCGGGGCCGGUGAUCAGAAACGAAAAGAAAUCGAAUGAGUUUCCUUGUUUAUCAAACAAUAAAGCCGGCGACGAGGCUGCGAUGACAUCCACGCACGAUUGGCUGCCUCGUCUUUACCAGAGAUGAGGGUUCUAAUAAGUUCGGCGGGUCCGCACCGCAAAGUGCGCUGGGAUAGGUGACGGGUCUGCCGGUCCUUGUACUUGGCUGACCGAGGGACGAAUCUGGAAACCUAAGAGGUCGUUUCGGGUGUGUUAAUCCAGGGAAAAGUAACAUUGUCCGAUUUUCAAGUCGGCCUGCAAUACGCCUUUUCUCGAUUGUGUCUUAGUCCUUAAAUCUUCUAUACUUUCACUGUAUGAAUCAUGUUAAAACUCUUUUCUCAGUUAAAUUUUUUUCUUCUGUGGCGUUAUGGAUCGGGCAGCAGGGAGUCCAAGAAGAUAUGGCAGACCCAAUGGGAAAAACAAUGAGUUGAAAAGACGACAGAAUAUGUAGGGGAAGGGGGAAAGGUUGGGAGAAAUGUAGGGAGAAAUCACGAAGACAGGAAAGGAAAGGUUGGAAGAACAAGGGACAUGUACUAGGUCUUAUGCUGUACUUUACACUUAUACCAGCUGAUGGUUUGGUAACUGCC